UCUUAAUCAAAAUCUAGUCAAAACUUGAUUAAAUCUUAGUAAAAUCCUAAAUAAGCCUUAACCAAAUCUUAGACAAAUCCUAGUCAAAUCUUAGUCAAAUCCUAAUAAAAUCCUAAUCAAAAUCUAAACAAAACAUAACCAAAUCCUAAUCAAAUUCUAAAUAAAUCAUAGUCAAAUCCUAAACAAAUUCUAAAUAAGUCCUAACCAAAUCCUAGACAAACCCUACUUAAAUCCUAGUCAAACCGUAAUCAAAUCCUAAUCAAAUUUUAAACAAAUCCUAACCAAAUCCUAAAUAAAUCCUAAUAAAAUCUUAAUCAAAUUCUAAAUAAAUCCCAGUCAAAUCUUAAUCAAAUUCUUAAUAAGCCCUAAUCAAAUCCUAAUAAAAUUUUAAACAAAGCUUAAUCAAAUCUUAAACAAAUCGUAGUCAAAUCCUAAUCAAAUCUUAACCAAACUUUAAUCAAAUCCUAAAUAAAUCCUUAUCAAAUCUUAGAAAAAUCCUAAAUUAGCCCUAACCAAAUCCUAGAUAAAUCCUAGCCAAGCUUAAAUCCAACCAAAAUCCUAAUUUUAACCCUAAUCCUAAAUCAAAUUCUAAAUCCUAACAAAAUCCUAAUCAAAUCCUAAUCAAUUUUAAGUAAUUCCUAUAGUAGAUUUAAACUUCAAUAACUAAUAAAUGAACCAUUGAUUUUAACUCAAAAUUUUCACACCUCUUAAAAAUUAAGUUUAUAACAAACAUAAAAAAUUUGA
This 744-nucleotide long non-coding RNA is filed under the name Physcomitrium patens. Its description in RNAcentral is "long non-coding RNA (PPAT_LNC012549)". Lineage: Eukaryota; Viridiplantae; Streptophyta; Bryopsida; Funariales; Funariaceae. The record is from RNAcentral.